UAGGGAAUCUUCCGCAAUGGGCGAAAGCCUGACGGAGCAACGCCGCGUGAGUGAUGAAGGUCUUCGGAUCGUAAAACUCUGUUAUUAGGGAAGAACAAAUGUGUAAGUAACUAUGCACGUCUUGACGGUACCUAAUCAGAAAGCCACGGCUAACUACGUUCCAGCAGCCGCGGUAAUACGUAGGUGGCAAGCGUUAUCCGGAAUUAUUGGGCGUAAAGCGCGCGUAGGCGGUUUUUUAAGUCUGAUGUGAAAGCCCACGGCUCAACCGUGGAGGGUCAUUGGAAACUGGAAAACUUGAGUGCAGAAGUGGAAAGUGGAAUUCCAUGUGUAGCGGUUAAAUGCGCAGAGAUAUGGAGGAACACCAGUGGCGAAGGCGACUUUCUGGUCUGUAACUGACGCUGAUGUGCGAAAGCGUGGGGAUCAAACAG
RNAcentral lists this ribosomal RNA (428 nucleotides) under Actinomycetes bacterium. RNAcentral's name for it is "Actinobacteria bacterium partial 16S ribosomal RNA". It matches the Rfam family "Bacterial small subunit ribosomal RNA", at positions 355 to 775 of the family's 1533-position model. The record is from RNAcentral. Lineage: Bacteria; Bacillati; Actinomycetota; Actinomycetes.